GGAAGUGAGGACGUUAACCACGUCUGAUUGGUCAGAUUGAUGACACAUGAUCAAGCCUCAAGCAAUUGAUUGGCGGAGACAGUUGAAGGAGGCGGGACUUUUCUGAAAGCCGAUCUUGCGGCUGGAUUAGCGUGCUAUUAUCAAAUCGUCCACUGGGUGGCAGUGUAGCGUGCCGUGCUGUGAUGUCGAGUAGGCCCGCAGCAGAGGAAGAAAGUUUCCUUUUGUGAUGCCAGCAGAACGUGUGUUUAUCACUAUUCUGUUCCUCAGGUUAGUAAACACUUUAUGUUAAACUAAUGUGCGUCUGCAUCAGCCACCUAUCCCAGAACAUUCUGCUGUACAGCCUGAUAAAAGAGGAGGAGUCCAAGAAGAAACUGGCCUAUCAGAGGCUACUUUCAACUUUGAACCAGUCCAGGGAUCAUACAGAGUGACAAACAGAAGAGAAGAACUUCUAAAUGAAGAUGUCAGAGAUGAAGCUGAUGAUAGAAGUGAUGAUGAUGAUGAAGAAGAAGACGUGAAAGAGCUGGAAGAACC
Molecule: long non-coding RNA, 531 nt
Filed under: Oryzias javanicus (javanese ricefish)
Lineage: Eukaryota; Metazoa; Chordata; Actinopteri; Beloniformes; Adrianichthyidae
Description: lncRNA (ENSOJAG00000012076.1)
Source: RNAcentral